RNAcentral lists this long non-coding RNA (1517 nucleotides) under Oryctolagus cuniculus (rabbit). Its description in RNAcentral is "lncRNA (ENSOCUG00000037619.1)". The record is from RNAcentral. Lineage: Eukaryota; Metazoa; Chordata; Mammalia; Lagomorpha; Leporidae.
GAAAACAGGUCAAUGCACUCAGCAUAACCUUCGGGAGGGUAUAUUUUCCCCUGCACAUCCUCCUGUAGCCAGCAGGGAUAAUGGUACCUGUAGUGGAGCUGGUACGGCUCCAACAACUCUGCGCGGAGGCGUGAGCCUGCAGGGAUAAACUUUCACUCAAGUUUCGCCUUUGUACUUCUGUGUCUUUGGCUCCAGAGAAAUGGAGAAGCCUCCACAAAGGCUCCAACCUGGAGUUAGGGACACGGAAGCUUCAGGUUGAGACCCCCGGGCUUAGAGUAGAGGAAAUGAAAGAAUUCUCAGUGACAAGUGAUGCCCGCACAGAGAAUCGCCUGCCUGGAUCCGGGCUGCCGAGGGACAGAGCUGGUCAUCCUGGGGACAAACAGAGCCAAACCUAGAAGCUUGGCUGUCGUUUUGCUCAUCCGCGUUGGGCUCAGGGACCCUCUGCACUCCAUCAGAGCUCCUCGGGUCACCGCUGAGAGCAGGCUACAGAGAUGACCCCUCAGGAAGAAGUAAAAAAGAAUACAACAAGAGUUAAUGAGUGGGCUGGAAUGAAAAAAGAGCUAGAAGCCAAGUGUGAAAAAGUACUGUUCCACCAAGAGAAGAGAAAAAUAGGAUUUCCAUGGAAGGAAUCCAAGAGAAGUUUCCAAAUCUGUUUAGCAGACCUUGCUAAAAUAAAAACGUAACAAUAUGGACAGGAGAGUACUUCAAAGCGUUUGUCGAACAGAGGAAUUGAAAGAGAAGUUUAUUUCGGUGCAAAGACUUUUUGAAAUCCAUGCAUAGUUCUUUUAAUAAUAUAAAUUUUCCGCGAACUUUCUGAAGACCCUGCAUAUACCACAGACCCAGCAUUGACAGAGGUGGCCUCAGAAGAGUGGGGGAACAGGACAGUGACUCACAGCUGCCUCUCGACGUAGCCAGGGGCAGUUGUUGGGAGAACGCCGUGUGUAUUUCUGCUUGUUCUCUCAUUGGCUCAGCUUCUGAAGAUGCGAGAGGCAAGACGAGUCCACAGGCUACUGCUCUUAGCGAUGGCCUUCGUUUUGCACGAUGGCGCACACAUUCAAUUUCCGUUUUCAGUACAGGUGAAAUGCCUGCCAUUGUUUUCAUCCCCCUUAUGAAACAGAGACAGGGUAAACUAUGCUAGGUUCCCAGGUAUGACUGAAGACAAAGGGAAGUCAAAUGGACUUUACCAAAAAACCGCCAGGAAAUCUUUGCACCACUGUGGAAGGUCAGGAGGUGAAGCGGCGACAUCAAAAUGCAGCAGUAGGCAGUAAGUAACACAUCGUUGCAGAGAAUUAGAAUUCGGCCAGUGUAAACAAUAGCGGGUUAUUAUUCACCUUCCUGCCCGGAGGAUCAGGACACGGGAGUAUUUGUGACUGUGUUUUUCUCAGUAGGAACAAACCCCAGGUGCUGCCAGGCUGCAGAGCGGUCUCACUGUCUCCCCCCAUCAUCAACUGGUGCUCAGAGCAAGCCGAAGGGAGUGUGGGAUUCAAACAUAUUGUAUUUGUUGAGCGCGGUAUUAG